This is a long non-coding RNA of Prionailurus viverrinus (fishing cat), 785 nucleotides long. RefSeq lists it as uncharacterized. Lineage: Eukaryota; Metazoa; Chordata; Mammalia; Carnivora; Felidae. The transcript is spliced from 5 exons. The record is from RefSeq and is a predicted model, not a curated record.
AGCAGCUUGAAAAACACGCCAUCUUCUACUCUACCUGGCCGAGAGUCGACCCUCUCUCCACACACUGUGUCCCCUCUCAACAUCCUUUAAAACCCCUUACAAGGCUCAGCCUGACAGAAACUUGUGGCCGACAUCUCUCUUGAUGUCUGGCCCCUCUCCUCCCUUAGAGAGUGAAUAAACUCUGUCCUGCUUGCCUGGACAUGCUUUGUGCAAUUCCCUAACAGCUUUGGUGGCCCGUAAGAGGACUGGCCAUUACCUACUGACCGGAAUCCAUCUCAACCAGAUCACCUUCUCAACUUAUCUCAGAGAGAAAACUGCAGUGCUGCAAAUACAACUGAUUCAGCAUUACGGUAUCUACCAAGUGCAAGCAAUCCCACUCUACGAGAGCACUACAAGCCUUCCAGAACUCAAACUUGUAAGAUAAGGAAACUGAAGCUCUGUCGUUCAUCUAAAGUUUCACCUAGGACCGGCUAAAGAAGAACUGGAAUGCAGAAUGAGGAGCUUAUGAGGUUCUCACCCUGGCUCCUCCCACCCAUGCUUGGAUUCAAACAAGUGGCCACUCACUAGCAUCUCCAAAUGGAUACCAGAGCCAUUUUCCAGACCUCAGGAGUCCUAUAGCCUUUCACCAGCCAAGCUAUGGUGCUGGUGCUGAUGCUAGAGCCAGAUAAAGAACCAAUUGCCCAAGUGAGCCUGGAAAUACAUACAUGUCAUCUCUCUGGAGAGCAAAAUUGACACCAUGACUACUGUCCUGGGACUGCCCUUUAAAACCUUUGCUGAAUUUGUAC